Molecule: transfer RNA, 70 nt
Filed under: Hsunycteris thomasi (Thomas' nectar bat)
Lineage: Eukaryota; Metazoa; Chordata; Mammalia; Chiroptera; Phyllostomidae
Description: tRNA-Cys
Rfam family: tRNA
About the family: Transfer RNA (tRNA) molecules are approximately 80 nucleotides in length. Their secondary structure includes four short double-helical elements and three loops (D, anti-codon, and T loops).
Source: RNAcentral
AAGCCUUGUGGUGUAUUUAACAUAUUGAAUUGCAAAUUCAAAUAAGCAGCUUCAACCCUGCCGGGGCUUC